This 462-nucleotide ribosomal RNA is filed under the name uncultured bacterium. RNAcentral's name for it is "bacterial SSU rRNA". It matches the Rfam family "Bacterial small subunit ribosomal RNA", at positions 338 to 795 of the family's 1533-position model. The record is from RNAcentral.
CCUANGGGAGGCUGCAGUCGAGAAUCUUCGGCAAUGGGCGCAAGCCUGACCGAGCGACGCCGCGUGUGGGAUGAAGGCCUUCGGGUUGUAAACCGCUGUCAGAGGGGAGGAAUGGGCGGAGGGUAAUCUCUUCGUUUUGACCUAUCCUCAGAGGAAGUACGGGCUAAGUUCGUGCCAGCAGCCGCGGUAAGACGAACCGUACGAACGUUAUUCGGAAUCACUGGGCUUAAAGGGUGCGUAGGCGGCGCUGUAAGUUGGGUGUGAAAUCCCUCGGCUCAACCGAGGAACUGCGCCCAAAACUACAGCACUUGAGGGAGAUAGAGGUGAGCGGAACUUAGGGUGGAGCGGUGAAAUGCGUUGAUAUCCUAAGGAACGCCAGUGGCGAAAGCGGCUCACUGGGUCUCUUCUGACGCUGAGGCACGAAAGCUAGGGUAGCGAACGGGAUUAGAUACCCCANUANUC